Molecule: small nucleolar RNA, 94 nt
Organism: Ailuropoda melanoleuca (giant panda)
Lineage: Eukaryota; Metazoa; Chordata; Mammalia; Carnivora; Ursidae
Gene: U3
Rfam family: Small nucleolar RNA U3
About the family: Small nucleolar RNAs (snoRNAs) are involved in the processing and modification of rRNA in the nucleolus. There are two main classes of snoRNAs: the box C/D class, and the box H/ACA class.
Source: Ensembl
AAGACUAUACUUUCAGGGAUCAUUUCUAUAGUUUGUUACCACACAUUUAAAGAAGAAUUAAUACCCACCAGGGGAAAAGGAAACCAAAGCUGGA